Molecule: ribosomal RNA, 392 nt
Filed under: uncultured bacterium
Lineage: Bacteria
Description: bacterial SSU rRNA
Rfam family: Bacterial small subunit ribosomal RNA
Source: RNAcentral
UAUUGCGCAAUGGGCGAAAGCCUGACGCAGCGACGCCGCGUGGGGGAUGAAGGUCUUCGGAUUGUAAACCCCUUCCGGGAGGGAAGAUGGAAUGGGGUAACUCAUUCUGACGGUACCUCCAGAAGCAGCCACGGCUAACUUCGUGCCAGCAGCCGCGGUAAUACGAAGGUGGCAAGCGUUAUUCGGAUUUACUGGGCGUACAGGGAGCGUAGGCGGUUUGGUAAGCCCUCUGUGAAAUCUCCAGGCUUAACCUGGAAAAGUCGGAGGGGACUGCUGGGCUAGAGGACGGGAGAGGAGCGCGGAAUUCCCGGUGUAGCGGUGAAAUGCGUAGAGAUCGGGAGGAAGGCCGGUGGCGAAGGCGGCGCUCUGGAACGUUCUGACGCUGAGGCCGA